This 91-nucleotide transfer RNA is filed under the name Puccinia triticina. Its description in RNAcentral is "tRNA-Leu". It matches the Rfam family "tRNA". Rfam says of the family: Transfer RNA (tRNA) molecules are approximately 80 nucleotides in length. Lineage: Eukaryota; Fungi; Basidiomycota; Pucciniomycetes; Pucciniales; Pucciniaceae. RNAcentral also lists the same sequence under 1 other name. The record is from RNAcentral.
GGACAUAUGGCCGAGUGGUCUAAGGCGCUAGCUUCAGGUUCCGAUCAGAUCCGCUAGUCUUCGGGCGUGGGUUCGAAUCCCACUGUGUUCA